This 188-nucleotide ribosomal RNA is filed under the name uncultured eukaryote. RNAcentral describes it as "partial large subunit ribosomal RNA". It matches the Rfam family "Eukaryotic large subunit ribosomal RNA", at positions 40 to 350 of the family's 3401-position model. The record is from RNAcentral.
AUAUUAUUAAGCGGAGGAAAAGAAACUAACAAGGAUUCUAAUGGCGAAUGAAAAGGGAAAAGCUCAAGAUUGAAUCGGGGGUCUCUCGAAAAAAGGUGUCAUCGUCGAUAACCCCAUCUAUGCGUGUAUCCUUCACGAGUAGAUCAUCCAAAGCUAAAUACAAGCCAGAGACCGAUAGCGCACAAGUA